AAAAAAAAAAAAAAAAAAAACAAAAAUACAACAAAAAAUAUAAAAAGUAAGAAUUUAAAAAAGGACAAAAAUUGAAUAAAAAUUUCAAAAAUGAAAUAGAAUGACAAAAAGAAAAAAAAUAGUUUAAAAAUACAAAAAAUUGAAAACAUAUAAGACCUAACAAUAACAAAAGUCAGACAAAAAAUAAAAAAGUAUGAGAAUUUAAAAACGGAAAUAAAAAAUGAAAGGAAAUUUGUGGGAAAAAAAUUGAAAAGGCAAAAGAUUUGGAAUAAAAAACAGAGAAAUAAAAAAUUUUAAAACAACGAAAAAAUUAAAACAAGAACAAGGAAAAUUGUGAAGGGAAAAAGUUAUUAAAAAUUACAAAGUAGAAAAAAAAAAUUGAACUUUAUAAAAAUUUUCUAAAAUAUAAAUAAAAAAUAAUUAAGAGAAAAAAUUAAAUGAAAUACGAAAGUAAGAAAAUGAAAAAUCAGGGAAUCAAAAAAAUAUAAAAAGACAAAAUGAAUAAAAAUUUCAAAUAUAAAAUGGAAAAAACUAUUAGUUUAGAAUGUACAAAGAAAAACAAAAAAAAACUAUAACAAAUAGAGGACAAAGAUAUAAAACAUGAAAAAUGAAAAAUAAAAUAAAAGAAGUUUGAGGUUUUAAAAUUAUAAAGAAGAAAUAAAAAAAAAAGUGUGAACAAAAAGAUUUAACAAAAAGCAAGAAAAAAAAUAAAAAAGGAAAAUACAAAAUACAUAAAAUAAAAUUUGAGAAAAAAAAAGGGAAAAAGAAGAAAAAAAUAAAAAGUGAAGAGGCAAAAACAUGAAAGAAAAGAAAAAGAAAAAAUUUAUAGAAAAUUUUAAAACAAAGGAAAACGUGAAAGCACAUAAAAAAAGAAUAAAAAUUUGAAAGGAGAAAAAGUUAAUGAAAAAUUAUAAAAAUGCAAUAGAAAAUAACUAAGAAUGAUAAAAGAAAAAAAGAUAGAAAAAUUAAAAAUUCCAAAACUUUAUAAAAAUUUAUGAAACUAUAAACAAAGAAAGAAAAUAAAAAAAGAAAAAAAAAUGAAAGCAAACGAAAAAAGAUAAAUAAAGCACAAAAAAAGAGAAAAAACAAAAAUACAACAAAAAAUAUAAAAAGUAAGAAAAGAAAAAAAGAAAAAAAUUGAAUAAAAAUUUCAAAAAUGAAAUGGAAUGACAAAAAGGAAAAAAAUAGUUUAAAAAAUACAAAAAAUUGAAAAACAUAUAAGACCUAACAAUAUAAAAAGUCAUACAAAAAAUUAAAAAAGAGAAAAGUUAAUGCAAAAUAAAAAAAGUAUGAGAAUUUAAAAACAGAAAUAAGAAAUGAAAGGAAAUUUGUGGGAAAAAAAAUAGAAUAGCACGAAAAGAAUAAAAAUGAAAAGACAAAAUAUUUGGAAUAAAAAACAAAAAAAUAAAAAUUUUAAAACAGCGAAAAAAUUAAAGCAAGAAAAAUGAAAGUAUAUGAAAAAAAAACAAGAAGAAGGGAAAUUGUGAAGGGAAAAAGUUAUUAAAAAAUCACAAAGUAGAAAAAAAAAAUAAAAAAGAUGCAAAAAAUAAGAAAAAAAAUUGAACUUUAUAAAAAUUUUCUAAAAUAUAAAUAAAAAAUAAAUGAAAAAAUAAAUUAAGGGAAAAAAUUAAAAUAAACAAAUAGAAAAAAGUAACAAAGUAAGAAAAUAAAAUAAAGUAAGAAAAUUUUAAAACAAAGGAAAAAGUGAACAAAAAAAAUGAAAGCACAUAAAAAAAAGAAGAAAAAUUUGAAAGGAGAAAAAAUUAAUGAAAAAUUAUAAAAAUGCAAUAGAAAAUAACCGAGAAUGAUAAAAGAAAACAAGAUAGAAAAAUAAAAUAUUCCAAAACUUUAUAAAAACUUAUGAAACUAUAAACAAAGAAAGAAAAUAAAAAGAAAAAAAAUGAAAGCAACAGAAAAAAGAUAAAUAAAGCACAAAAAAACAAAAAAAACAAAAUACAACAAAAAUUAUAAAAAGUAAGAAAAGAAAAAAGGACAAAAUUUGAAUAUAAAUUUCAAAAAUGAAAUGGAAUGACAAAAAGAAAAAAAAUAGUUUAAAAAAUACAAAAAAUUGAAAAACAAAUAAGACCUAACAAUAUAAAAAGUCAGACAAAAAAUGAAAAAAGAGAAAAGUUAAUGCAAGAUAAAAAAAUUAUGAGAAUUUAAAUACAGAAAUAAGAAAUGAAAGGAAAUUUGUGGGAAAAAAAAAUAGAAUAGCAAGAAAAGACAAAAGCUUUGGAAUAAAAAACCAAAAAAUAAAAAAUUUUAAAAGAACGAAAAAAUUAAAACAAGAAAAAAUGAAAGUAGAUGAAAAGAAAAACAAGAAGAAGGAAAAUUGUGAAGGGAAAAAGUUAUCAAAAAAUUACAAAGUAGAAAAAAAAAUAAAAAAGAUUCAAAAAAUAAGAAAAAAAAUUUGAACUUUAUAAAAAUUUUCUAAAAUAUAAAUAAAAAAUAAAUCAAGGAAAAAAAUAAAAAAGUAACAAAGUAAGAAAAUAAAAAAUUAGCGAAUCAAAAAAAUAUAAAAAGACAAAAUGAAAGCACAUAAGAAAAAGAAGAAAAAUUUGAAAGGAGAAAAAGUUAAUGAAAAAUUAUAAAAAUGCAAUAGAAAACAACCAAGAAUGAUAAAAGAAAAAAAGAUAGAAAAAUAAAAAAUUCCAAAACUUUAUAAAAAUUUAUAAAACUAUAAACAAAGAAAAAAAUAAAAUAGAAAAAUAGAAAAAGAUAAAAGAUAAAUAAAGCACAAAAAAGGAAAAAAAUACAACAAAAAAUAUAAAAAGGGCAAAAAUUGAAUAAAAAUAGUUUAAAAAAUACAAAAAAUUGAAAAACAUAUAAGACCUAACAAUAUAAAAAGUCAAAUAAAAAAUUAAAAAAGAGAAAAGUUAAUGCAAAAUAAAAAAAUUAUGAGUAUUUAAAACGCAAAUAAGAAAUGAAAGGAAAUUUGUGGGAAAAAAAAAAAGGAAAGCAACAAAAGAAUAAAAAUGAAAAGACAAAAGAAUUGGAAUAAAAAACAGAAAAAUAAAAAAUUUUAAAACAACAAAAAAAAUUAAAACAAGUAAAAAUGAAAGCAUAUUAAAAAAAAAAAAGCAAAAAAAAGGAAAAUUGUGAAGGGAAAAAGUUAUUAAAAAAUUACAAAGUAGAAAAAAAAUAAGAAAAUAAAAAAAAAAAAUUUUUUAACUUUAUAAAAAUUUUUAAAAUAUAAAUAAAAAUAAAUGAAAAAAAUAAAUUAAGGGAAAAAAUAAAAAUAAACAAAAAAAGUAACAAAGUAAGAAAAUAAAAAUUAGCGAAUCAAAAAAAUAUAAUAAGACAAAAUGUAUAAAAUUUCAAAUAUAAAAUGAAAAAACUUUUAGUUUAGAAUGUACAAAGAAAAACAAAAAAAAAUAUAACAAAUAGAGGACAAAGAUAUAAAAUAUGAAAGAUGAAAAAUAAAAUAAAAGUUAAUAAAAAAUAUGAAUAAAAAUAAAAGAAAGUGACAAAAAAAGAAGUUUGAGGUUUUAAAAUUAUAAAGAAGAAAUAAAAAAAAAGUGUGAACAAAAAGAUUUAAGAAAAAGCAAGAAAAAAAUAAAAAAGGAAAAUACAAAAUACACAAAAAAAAUUUUGAGAAAAAAAAAAAGAGAAAAAGAAGAAAAAAAUAAAAAAUGAAGAGGCAAAAAUAUGAAAGAAAAGAAAAAGAAAAAAAAUUUAUAGACAAUUUUAAAACAAAGGAAAAAGUGAACAAAAAAAAAAAAUAAAAGCACAUAAAAAAAAGAAGAAAAAUUUGAAAGGAGAAAAAGUUAAUGAAAAAUUAUAAAAUGCAAAAGAGAAUAACCAAGAAUGAUAAAAGAAAAAAAGAUAGAAAAAUAAAAAAUUCCAAAACUUUAUAAAAAUUUAUAAAACUAUAAACAAAGAAAGAAAAUAAAAAAUAAAUAUAGAAAAAGAAAAAAUACAAUAAAAAUAUAAAAAGGACAAAAAUUGAAUAAAAAUUUCAAAAAUGAAAUGGAAUGACAAAAUGAAAAAAAAUAGUUUAAAAAAUACAAAAAUUGAAAAACAUAUAAGACCUAACAAUAUAAAAAGUCAGAGAAAAAAAUUAAAAAGAGAAAAAGUUAAUGCAAAAUAAAAAAAAGUAUGAGAAUUUAAAAACGCAAAUAAGAAAUGAAAGGAAAUUUGUGGGGAAAAAAAAGAAAAGCAAGAAAAGAAUAAAAAUGAAAAGAAAAAAGAUUUGGAAUAAAAAACAGAAAAAUAAAAAUUUUAAAACAAUUAAAAAUAGAAGAAAGUGCACAAAAAAAAAGUUUCAGGUUUUAAAAUUAUGAAGAAGAAAUAAAAAAAAGUGUGAACAAAAAGAUUUAAGAAAAAGCAAGAAAAAAAAUAAAAAAUGAAAAUACAAAAUACAUAAAAUAAAAUUUGAGAAAAAAUGAGAAAAGGAAGAAAAAAAUAAGAAAUGAAGAGGCAAAAAUAUGAAAGAAAAGAAAAGAAAAAGAAAAAAAUUUAUAGAAAAUUUUAAAACAAAGGAAAAAGUUAACAAAAAAAAUGAAAGCACAUAAAAAAAAGAAGAAAAAUUUGAAAGGAGAAAAAGUUAAUGAAAAAUUAUAAAAAUGCAAUAGAAAAUAACCGAGAAUGAUAAAAGAAAAAAAGAUAGAAAAAUAAAAAAUUCCAAAACUUUAUAAAAAUUUAUGAAACUAUAAACAAAGAAAGAAAAUAAAAAAUAAAAAGAAAAAAUGAAAGCAAAAGAAAAAAAGAUAAUAAAGCAAAAAAAAAAAAAAAAAACAAAAAAACAAAAAAAAAAAAAAAAAUAAAAAAACAAAAAAGAAUAAAAAUUUAAAAAAAAGGACAAAAAGAAAAAAUAAAAAUUUCAAAAAUGAAAAAUAGAUACAAUAAAAAAAAAAAAAAAAAAAAAAAAAAAAAAAAAAAAAAAAAAAAAAAAAAAAAAAAAAAAAAAAAAAAAAAAAAAAAAAAAAAAAAAAAAAAGUCAGAAAAAAAAAAGAAGUAUGAGAAUUAAAAGGAAAUAAAAAAUGAAAGGAAAUUUGUGGAAAAAAAAUUGAAAAGGCAAAAGAUUUGGAAUAAAAAACAGAGAAAUAAAAAAUUUUAAAACAACGAAAAAAAAAACAAGAACAAGGAAAAUUGUGAAGGGAAAAAGUUAUUAAAAAAUUACAAAGUAGAAAAAAAAAAAAAAAAAAAUUGAACUUUAUAAAAAUUUUCUAAAAUAUAAAUAAAAAAUAAUUAAGAGAAAAAAUUAAAUGAAAUACGAAAGUAAGAAAAUGAAAAAUCAGCGAAUCAAAAAAAUAUAAAAAGACAAAAUGAAUAAAAAUUUCAAAUAUAAAAUGGAAAAAAACUAUUAGUUUAGAAU
Molecule: long non-coding RNA, 5317 nt
Filed under: Durio zibethinus
Lineage: Eukaryota; Viridiplantae; Streptophyta; Magnoliopsida; Malvales; Malvaceae
Description: long non-coding RNA (DZIB_LNC001798)
Source: RNAcentral